RNAcentral lists this long non-coding RNA (417 nucleotides) under Homo sapiens (human). Its description in RNAcentral is "non-protein coding lnc-SLC15A5-1:1". Lineage: Eukaryota; Metazoa; Chordata; Mammalia; Primates; Hominidae. The record is from RNAcentral.
CCUGACUCUUCCAUCUCCAUCCUUCAUGCUUAAAGGAUCCUGGUGAUUACAUUGGACCCUCCCGUACAAUCUAGGAUACAUUUUUAACCUUAAGGUCUUCAAGGGAUCACCACACUGUCUUCCACAAUGGUUGAACUAAUUUUCACCCCCACCAAUGAUGCUACCAUUGAAUUUAAUUAUGAUGCUGUCUUCAACAUGGAAGUUACAUAAGAAAAUCUGAAGCCAUUGUGUAUUUCAGCUAGGCUUCUUCUUAGGAAAUAGAGGUCAGCCUAGUGCAGUGAAGUCUGAUUGGAGGUGGACAAUGAGGAUCCUGCCAAGGUGCUGUCCUUAGCUUCUGUUCAGCCUAAUGUAAGUUCAUUCCUUUUGAUUACAGUCAUUUCAAUGACUUUUUUUGCCCAUAAAAUUAUGACCACAUAA